Molecule: ribosomal RNA, 253 nt
Filed under: uncultured bacterium
Lineage: Bacteria
Description: partial 16S ribosomal RNA
Rfam family: Bacterial small subunit ribosomal RNA
Source: RNAcentral
UACGUAGGUGGCAAGCGUUGUCCGGAUUUAUUGGGUUUAAAGGGUGCGUAGGCGGCUUUGUAAGUCAGUGGUGAAAUAUGGCAGCUUAACUGUCAGGGUGCCAUUGAUACUGCGGAGCUUGAGUACAGAUGAGGUAGGCGGAAUUGACGGUGUAGCGGUGAAAUGCUUAGAUAUCGUCAAGAACACCUAUAGCGAAGGCAGCUUACUAGGCUGUAACUGACGCUGGGGCACGAAAGUGUGGGGAUCAAACAGG